This is a non-coding RNA of Triticum urartu, 115 nucleotides long. The record is from Rfam. NCBI's taxonomy places the organism in Eukaryota, Viridiplantae, Streptophyta, Magnoliopsida, Poales, Poaceae.
GUUCUACUCCCUCCGUUACGAAUUAUUUGUCGCAGAUAUGGAUGUAUCUAGAUGUAUUUUAGUUCUAGAUACAUCUAUUUCUACGACGAGUAAUUUGGAACGGAGGGAGUACUUC